UACAGGCUUAACACAUGCAAGUCGAGGGGCAGCAUGGUCUUAGCUUGCUAAGGCCGAUGGCGACCGGCGCACGGGUGAGUAACACGUAUCCAACCUGCCGUCUACUCUUGGACAGCCUUCUGAAAGGAAGAUUAAUACAAGAUGGCAUCAUGAGUCCGCAUGUUCACAUGAUUAAAGGUAUUCCGGUAGACGAUGGGGAUGCGUUCCAUUAGAUAGUAGGCGGGGUAACGGCCCACCUAGUCUUCGAUGGAUAGGGGUUCUGAGAGGAAGGUCCCCCACAUUGGAACUGAGACACGGUCCAAACUCCUACGGGAGGCAGCAGUGAGGAAUAUUGGUCAAUGGGCGAGAGCCUGAACCAGCCAAGUAGCGUGAAGGAUGACUGCCCUAUGGGUUGUAAACUUCUUUUAUAAAGGAAUAAAGUCGGGUAUGGAUACCCGUUUGCAUGUACUUUAUGAAUAAGGAUCGGCUAACUCCGUGCCAGCAGCCGCGGUAAUACGGAGGAUCCGAGCGUUAUCCGGAUUUAUUGGGUUUAAAGGGAGCGUAGAUGGAUGUUUAAGUCAGUUGUGAAAGUUUGCGGCCCAACCGUAAAAUUGCAGUUGAUACUGGAUAUCUUGAGUGCAGUUGAGGCAGGCGGAAUUCGUGGUGUAGCGGUGAAAUGCUUAGAUAUCACGAAGAACUCCGAUUGCGAAGGCAGCCUGCUAAGCUGCAACUGACAUUGAGGCUCGAAAGUGUGGGUAUCAAACAGGAUUAGAUACCCUGGUAGUCCACACGGUAAACGAUGAAUACUCGCUGUUUGCGAUAUACUGCAAGCGACCAAGCGAAAGCGUUAAGUAUUCCACCUGGGGAGUACGCCGGCAACGGUGAAACUCAAAGGAAUUGACGGGGGCCCGCACAAGCGGAGGAACAUGUGGUUUAAUUCGAUGAUACGCGAGGAACCUUACCCGGGCUUAAAUUGCAGAUGAAUUACGGUGAAAGCCGUAAGCCGCAAGGCAUCUGUGAAGGUGCUGCAUGGUUGUCGUCAGCUCGUGCCGUGAGGUGUCGGCUUAAGUGCCAUAACGAGCGCAACCCUUGUUGUCAGUUACUAACAGGUUCCGCUGAGGACUCUGACAAGACUGCCAUCGUAAGAUGUGAGGAAGGUGGGGAUGACGUCAAAUCAGCACGGCCCUUACGUCCGGGGCUACACACGUGUUACAAUGGGGGGUACAGAGGGCCGCUACCACGCGAGUGGAUGCCAAUCCCCAAAACCUCUCUCAGUUCGGACUGGAGUCUGCAACCCGACUCCACGAAGCUGGAUUCGCUAGUAAUCGCGCAUCAGCCACGGCGCGGUGAAUACGUUCCCGGGCCUUGUACACACCGCCCGUCAAGCCAUGGGAGCCGGGGGUACCUGAAGUGCGUAACCGCGAGGAGCGCCCUAGGGUAAAACUGGUGACUGG
RNAcentral lists this ribosomal RNA (1433 nucleotides) under uncultured bacterium. RNAcentral describes it as "bacterial SSU rRNA". It matches the Rfam family "Bacterial small subunit ribosomal RNA". The record is from RNAcentral.